Molecule: long non-coding RNA, 1363 nt
Organism: Ictidomys tridecemlineatus (thirteen-lined ground squirrel)
Lineage: Eukaryota; Metazoa; Chordata; Mammalia; Rodentia; Sciuridae
Source: RefSeq, a predicted model, not a curated record
GGGAAGCCUCGCCCCCACCCUGGCCGCGGCGCUGUCUUCACCCCCAAAUGGCUCCGCCCCAUUGCCUCUCCGACAGCCAAUGGAAGCAAAUAACGACGGCAGAUGACGCGGAAAUACGUCACGGGGGCGCGGUGCGCCCGCCUGGGAGCCGGGUUGGCUCAGGCUCCACGGCGCCCUCUGCUGCCUGGAGGCACCAGAUAAACCCACUGGAAAAGAGAGGUUUAGUGUCCAGGCUCCUGGUUCCAGCUGUGCGUGAGAUUCUCAGGGCCAGCCUCCAUCUUCACUCCACCUUUCUUCUGACUUGAAAUCUCAUGCAGUUGAGAGACCAGAGUAUACAGUAUACAUCUGACACAUGGAGCCCUGGGAAGUUGUAGAAAUCCUGUGUUCCUACUGGGCAUGUGGCCAACAAGAAUAAAGACUACAUUCCUAUCAUCCCUUACGCCUAAGUGUGACCAUGUGAUUGAUUACAUUCUGGAUAAUAGGAGUAACCAGAAUUGUAUGCAGCUUCUGGGAAUUGUUCUGAAAAUGUGGGGCCAUCUCAAUCUUUUUUCCUCUUUCCUAUUGACCAGAAUAUAGUUGGAACUUGGCAAGUGAGAGCUCUUGGACAGAGCUUGAGAGACAAACUUGAGAGAGGAAUGAUUGCAUGGUAAGGAGAUAGGGGACUGGAUUCUAAAAACAUGGAGCACCAUGCUGACUUUGGAUUUACUACCUUAAGACUUCUUAUAUGGGAAAGACAAAUUCGAUCUUGUUUAUUAGAAUUUUAGUUUAUUUAGCUUAUUUUUUUUUUAUUUCCUUUUUGCUUCCUGUAAUUUGCAGUUGAGUUGAUCCUAAUUUGUAAACCCUGCCUCGUCACCUUGGUUGCUAAUGCCACUGCAGACCUGCCUAGGUGAUAUCAUCACAAUUUUGAUUUGUCACACACAACUCAGGGGGCAAGGGUAGCCAUAUUUUUGAGACAGAGUCCUCAAGUACACAGCAGACCAUUAUCUCCAGCCAACUCAGUGUUUACCUAAGUGAGGAGUCCAGAUAAAACCAGCCAAUCAAGUGAUCUUCCUUAAAUACAAACAAAUCUAUCAAAUAUGUUAUGCUGAUUAUCUUUGUAACAAAGUUAUAAACUGGUAAAAAUCUCAAGCAUUAAAGAAGCUAUUGUAAACAAUUUCAAAAUCACUUUAUUUUAAUAAAACUGAAAAUUGCCACUUUAGUUUCGUUGAUUCUAAUCAAAAUCAAAGUUAUACCAUAUGUGGACAAUGAUGGUUUAUAUUUGUAACUGAAAUAUUUAUGUCUCUGAAAAUAGAACCACAUGUUUAUACUAAAACAACCCCCCCCUCCAAAAAAAAAAAAAAAAAGCACACAAAAAAACCCAAAA